UUGCCAACAGCUAUUGUCAGUGCUAUUGUUUCUACAGAUCAUGUCGCUUUAUUUAGGUUAAACAAAAUUAAUUCAAUAACGAAUUGUUUUUCGCAAUUUCAAACCGAGGGAUAUUGCCCGCCCUACUUAAAAUGAAAGAAGUGACGGUUCCAGUGCGUUCGUUUGGAUGCUUACUAAAUUUUAUUUGGAAUAUACUGGUCCGAUUUUUGUUAAUGUUUAUGUCCCGUUAAGUUAAAGUUCACAGAUGCAAAUGAAAUCGGAUGGAUUGUUUAAUGAUAUUAUAAUAACAAAAUCUGGUAUUUCUUCGCAUGAGAGGAGCAAGACGUGCCGGAAGUAGACCUCGCGUGCGCUGCGCAGGCGCUUCCGAUUAUAGUAAUGGGAAAAUAUUAAUAAUAGAAAGUAUUUUUUACAUUUCUCCUAUUGUCUGGGUAUUAUUUUCGUUGAGAAUAUUUUUUAUUAAUUAAUGCGUUUUGUUAUAUAAUAACAUUAAAUAACAGUAAAAUUAAAA
Long non-coding RNA from Melitaea cinxia (Glanville fritillary), 508 nucleotides. RefSeq lists it as uncharacterized. The transcript has 2 exons. The record is from RefSeq and is a predicted model, not a curated record. Lineage: Eukaryota; Metazoa; Arthropoda; Insecta; Lepidoptera; Nymphalidae.